CGUGUGAACUUUUAUAGAGGUCAGAUGUGGUGCGGCUAGGAGCAACAUACAACCCCUCAAAUUUCAGACAUGGUGAAUAAUGAUCCACACAAAGGACUAAACCCAAGUUCAACAUAGUCAAAAAAAGAAAAGUUUUCAACUGCACCAGCGAUAUUGCCUCCAGCCUCCUGCCACUAUGAUGCAACCAACAUUGCCAUUGCAGCCUUCAACCAAAAUCUUCCACAACUAGUAAUUGCUUUCACUUUCCACCAAUAUUAGUGCUACGUCUAUUAUUAUCAACAUCACCAUCUACUGGUGUUGCAGGCACAAGCUUUUGUCCAGAAAAAGUAAAAUCCUUCUUUUUAUAAAGAUUGAGAGAUGGAAGUGGCGUUGAGAAACAUGGUCAGCUCUGGGACGGGUCAAGAGGUUGACAUUGGCCCAACCUAAUAAGGCCUCAAGCACAUGGUAUCUAAUAGUGCAACCAAGGUGGCAUACUAUCGAUAAUAUCCGAUACAGGACAUACCAUACCAUAUCAUAUCAGUAUGGUGAACCAUCUUGUACUAACACUAUCAUACCAUAUCCAAGCGUAGCAAUACAAUAAUCAGACGGUA
Elaeis guineensis (African oil palm) is the source of this 590-nucleotide non-coding RNA. Lineage: Eukaryota; Viridiplantae; Streptophyta; Magnoliopsida; Arecales; Arecaceae. The record is from RefSeq and is a predicted model, not a curated record.